This 1699-nucleotide ribosomal RNA is filed under the name Salmonella enterica. Its description in RNAcentral is "partial 23S ribosomal RNA". It matches the Rfam family "Bacterial large subunit ribosomal RNA", at positions 1 to 1733 of the family's 2925-position model. The record is from RNAcentral. Lineage: Bacteria; Pseudomonadati; Pseudomonadota; Gammaproteobacteria; Enterobacterales; Enterobacteriaceae. RNAcentral also lists the same sequence under 1 other name.
GGGUUGUGAGGUUAAGCGACUAAGCGUACACGGUGGAUGCCCUGGCAGUCAGAGGCGAUGAAGGGCGUGCUAAUCUGCGAUAAGCGCCGGUAAGGUGAUAUGAACCGUUAUAACCGGCGAUACCCGAAUGGGGAAACCCAGUGUGAUUCGUCACACUAUCAUUAACUGAAUCCAUAGGUUAAUGAGGCGAACCGGGGGAACUGAAACAUCUAAGUACCCCGAGGAAAAGAAAUCAACCGAGAUUCCCCCAGUAGCGGCGAGCGAACGGGGAGGAGCCCAGAGCCUGAAUCAGCAUGUGUGUUAGUGGAAGCGUCUGGAAAGGCGCGCGAUACAGGGUGACAGCCCCGUACACAAAAGCGCAUGUGCUGUGAGCUCGAUGAGUAGGGCGGGACACGUGGUAUCCUGUCUGAAUAUGGGGGGACCAUCCUCCAAGGCUAAAUACUCCUGACUGACCGAUAGUGAACCAGUACCGUGAGGGAAAGGCGAAAAGAACCCCGGCGAGGGGAGUGAAAAAGAACCUGAAACCGUGUACGUACAAGCAGUGGGAGCACCCUUUGGGUGUGACUGCGUACCUUUUGUAUAAUGGGUCAGCGACUUAUAUUCUGUAGCAAGGUUAACCGAAUAGGGGAGCCGGAGGGAAACCGAGUCUUAACCGGGCGUUAAGUUGCAGGGUAUAGACCCGAAACCCGGUGAUCUAGCCAUGGGCAGGUUGAAGGUUGGGUAACACUAACUGGAGGACCGAACCGACUAAUGUUGAAAAAUUAGCGGAUGACCUGUGGCUGGGGGUGAAAGGCCAAUCAAACCGGGAGAUAGCUGGUUCUCCCCGAAAGCUAUUUAGGUAGCGCCUCGUGAAUUCAUCUCCGGGGGUAGAGCACUGUUUCGGCUAGGGGGCCAUCCCGGCUUACCAACCCGAUGCAAACUGCGAAUACCGGAGAAUGUUAUCACGGGAGACACACGGCGGGUGCUAACGUCCGUCGUGAAGAGGGAAACAACCCAGACCGCCAGCUAAGGUCCCAAAGUCAUGGUUAAGUGGGAAACGAUGUGGGAAGGCCCAGACAGCCAGGAUGUUGGCUUAGAAGCAGCCAUCAUUUAAAGAAAGCGUAAUAGCUCACUGGUCGAGUCGGCCUGCGCGGAAGAUGUAACGGGGCUAAACCAUGCACCGAAGCUGCGGCAGCGACACUGUGUGUUGUUGGGUAGGGGAGCGUUCUGUAAGCCUGUGAAGGUGUGUCGUGAGGCAUGCUGGAGGUAUCAGAAGUGCGAAUGCUGACAUAAGUAACGAUAAAGCGGGUGAAAAGCCCGCUCGCCGGAAGACCAAGGGUUCCUGUCCAACGUUAAUCGGGGCAGGGUGAGUCGACCCCUAAGGCGAGGCCGAAAGGCGUAGUCGAUGGGAAACGGGUUAAUAUUCCCGUACUUGGUGUUACUGCGAAGGGGGGACGGAGAAGGCUAUGUUGGCCGGGCGACGGUUGUCCCGGUUUAAGCGUGUAGGUGUGUGUUCCAGGUAAAUCCGGUUCACUUUAACACUGAGGCGUGACGACGAGGCACUACGGUGCUGAAGCAACAAAUGCCCUGCUUCCAGGAAAAGCCUCUAAGCAUCAGGUAACAUCAAAUCGUACCCCAAACCGACACAGGUGGUCAGGUAGAGAAUACCAAGGCGCUUGAGAGAACUCGGGUGAAGGAACUAGGCAAAAUGGUGCCGUAA